UGAGAAGAACAGCUGAGCAUUCCUCAGUGAUGGAGCGACCUCUAAUGGACCGCGCGCUCUUAAAUCCUGUGCUCCCGCAGCGGCCGAGUGAAACAGAUCUGACCAGUGACUCAUGACAGCCCGAGGCGCUACCGACAAAAACUUUACUCGGGGCAAAACUUGAGCGAUACAUGGGCAAAACAGGACAAACGAGAUAAAAAAGUGCUCACAGUGCAUAGGAGAGUCAAUAGAAAGAGAGAGUAAGGCAACCUUGAGCAGCGGCUAAGGACUCUGUCAAGAAGGACACAAGCUCCUGUGUGUGACCUUUCGUCUGUUGCCCUGGGAGAGCGGCUCUCCUUUCACCCAAUGCAGGGAUCAUCUGUCAAUUGCUGUUACAUGAAGACAUGUGCCUUGAGUCUGUCUGCCUAUUCCAGACCAAUUUCACAACAGUCUGUUGAGGGCCCCAAGCACCCAUCACCCUGAACCCCAGCAGGCCUGUCACACUGUCUCACUACCCUGAUCCUGCUCCUUCUUCUCCUGCCAGCCCCCCUCAGCCCUCCCUGGAGUCCCCAGGGGCCCUCAUCCUCCAUGGAGAGCAGGGAGA
Myxocyprinus asiaticus (Chinese sucker) is the source of this 583-nucleotide long non-coding RNA. RefSeq lists it as uncharacterized. The record is from RefSeq and is a predicted model, not a curated record. Lineage: Eukaryota; Metazoa; Chordata; Actinopteri; Cypriniformes; Catostomidae. The transcript is spliced from 3 exons.